RNAcentral lists this ribosomal RNA (113 nucleotides) under Maylandia zebra (zebra mbuna). Lineage: Eukaryota; Metazoa; Chordata; Actinopteri; Cichliformes; Cichlidae. The record is from RNAcentral.
GCUUACAGCCAUACCACCCUGAGCAUGUCUGAUCCCGGAAGCUAAACAGGGUCGGUUAGUACUGGUUAGUACUUGGAUGUCAGACCUCUUGGUAAUGCCAGGUGCUGUAUGCU